CGGUCCCAAGGGUUGGGCUGUUCGCCCAUUAAAGCGGUACGCGAGCUGGGUUCAGAACGUCGUGAGACAGUUCGGUCCCUAUCCGUCGUGGGCGUAGGAAAUUUGAGAGGAGCUGUCCUUAGUACGAGAGGACCGGGAUGGACAUACCUCUGGUGUACCAGUUGUCGUGCCAACGGCAUAGCUGGGUAGCUAUGUGUGGACGGGAUAAGUGCUGAAAGCAUCUAAGCAUGAAGCCCCCCUCAAGAUGAGAUUUCCCAACUUCGGUUAUAAGAUCCCUCAAAGAUGAUGAGGUUAAUAGGUUCGAGGUGGAAGCAUGGUGACAUGUAGAGCUGACGAAUACUAAUCGAUCGAAGACUUAAUCAAAA
This 365-nucleotide ribosomal RNA is filed under the name Staphylococcus aureus. RNAcentral's name for it is "bacterial LSU rRNA". It matches the Rfam family "Bacterial large subunit ribosomal RNA", at positions 2560 to 2925 of the family's 2925-position model. The record is from RNAcentral. Lineage: Bacteria; Bacillati; Bacillota; Bacilli; Caryophanales; Staphylococcaceae.